GAAAGUUUGAAACCAAAGAAUCUCCAGCUCUUAGAGCCACAGAGCACUUGGCAAGAAACAGGCUUCUCAGCAGACUACCAUCAAGUGUAGAAGCAGACAAUUCAGAAAAAGCAAGGAUAACGCUGGAAGAAUUUUGUUUAAAGAGGGUCCUAAGGGUCUUGGGUGAAGCAGCUGGUGAAAGAGAAGGUGGAAAAACACUUGAAGCUCUACCUGUGGAAGAGUCAGUUAUCACACCAAGGAGACACAGGAGCCACCAGCUUGGGCUGACAGGCACAAUAACCAUUUAUUCAAAGAUGCCAUCUAAUGCACUAUGCCACUAAGUACUGUGGCUGGACAGUGAUUUUAAGUGUAACAAAUUAUCUUCACUUUGAAAAGAGCUUAAGAGAGAGAAAACAAAUAUUACAUCUUAAACAGAGGCAUGAAUCAAACCAACUUAUGAACGGUGAAAGCAACUUAUCAAAAUGUCUUCGGACAUAUCAAGACUGAC
Molecule: long non-coding RNA, 487 nt
Filed under: Homo sapiens (human)
Lineage: Eukaryota; Metazoa; Chordata; Mammalia; Primates; Hominidae
Description: non-protein coding lnc-UQCRFS1-5:2
Source: RNAcentral